UGGGGAAUAUUGGACAAUGGGCGAAAGCCUGAUCCAGCCAUGCCGCGUGUGUGAAGAAGGUCUUCGGAUUGUAAAGCACUUUAAGUUGGGAGGAAGGGCAGUAAGCGAAUACCUUGCUGUUUUGACGUUACCGACAGAAUAAGCACCGGCUAACUCUGUGCCAGCAGCCGCGGUAAUACAGAGGGUGCAAGCGUUAAUCGGAAUUACUGGGCGUAAAGCGCGCGUAGGUGGUUCGUUAAGUUGAAUGUGAAAGCCCCGGGCUCAACCUGGGAACUGCAUCCCAAACUGGCGAGCUAGAGUAGGGCAGAGGGUGGUGGAAUUUCCUGUGUAGCGGUGAAAUGCGUAGAUAUAGGAAGGAACACCAGUGGCGAAGGCGACCACCUGGGCUCAAACUGACACUGAGGUGCGAAAGCGUGGGGAGCAAACAGG
This 429-nucleotide ribosomal RNA is filed under the name Pseudomonadota bacterium. Its description in RNAcentral is "Proteobacteria bacterium partial 16S ribosomal RNA". It matches the Rfam family "Bacterial small subunit ribosomal RNA", at positions 355 to 776 of the family's 1533-position model. The record is from RNAcentral. Lineage: Bacteria; Pseudomonadati; Pseudomonadota.